UUAUGUGUGUGCUCCCCACCCAGUGC
This 26-nucleotide non-coding RNA is filed under the name Rattus norvegicus (Norway rat). The record is from RNAcentral. Lineage: Eukaryota; Metazoa; Chordata; Mammalia; Rodentia; Muridae.